RNAcentral lists this ribosomal RNA (506 nucleotides) under Lasiodiplodia theobromae. RNAcentral's name for it is "eukaryotic LSU rRNA". The stretch from base 144 to 297 matches the Rfam family "5.8S ribosomal RNA". Lineage: Eukaryota; Fungi; Ascomycota; Dothideomycetes; Botryosphaeriales; Botryosphaeriaceae. The record is from RNAcentral.
UCAUUACCGAGUUUUCGGGCUUCGGCUCGACUCUCCCACCCUUUGUGAACGUACCUCUGUUGCUUUGGCGGCUCCGGCCGCCCAAGGACCUCCAAACUCCAGUCAGUAAACGCAGACGUCUGAUAAACAAGUUAAUAAACUAAAACUUUCAACAACGGAUCUCUUGGUUCUGGCAUCGAUGAAGAACGCAGCGAAAUGCGAUAAGUAAUGUGAAUUGCAGAAUUCAGUGAAUCAUCGAAUCUUUGAACGCACAUUGCGCCCCUUGGUAUUCCGGGGGGCAUGCCUGUUCGAGCGUCAUUACAACCCUCAAGCUCUGCUUGGAAUUGGGCACCGUCCUCACUGCGGACGCGCCUCAAAGACCUCGGCGGUGGCUGUUCAGCCCUCAAGCGUAGUAGAAUACACCUCGCUUUGGAGUGGUUGGCGUCGCCCGCCGGACGAACCUUCUGAACUUUUCUCAAGGUUGACCUCGGAUCAGGUAGGGAUACCCGCUGAACUUAAGCAUAUCA